GCCUCAGCAUCCACAUUGUCCAUCGGAACGUAGUUGGUCACUGCGGCGGCAGAACCAGUGCGGAACACGAACAGCUACGACUAGUCGCUCACUGUCUCACUUGGGGCCAAACUCUACUUUAGCUUUACAAUGGUGGCUACUCCCCGCAUGCGAGCUGCUUCUGAAAAGCACGCUAAGAAUAUCACGCAAAGAGGCAACGUUCAGAAGUCAUCCAAGGCAGUGGAGGAGAGACCGCCUGUGGGUCCUUGGCUGUUGGGACUUUUCAUCUUCGUCGUGUGCGGUUCUGCCAUCUUCCAAAUAAUCCAGAGCAUUCGAGCGGGCUUCUAAGUUGAUCGUGUACGGUUGGAACUCGAUUCUCAGCGCAAUUCGGCAAUCGGCUCUUUUCGCGAUCGAUGAUACAGUAAUGCAAUAGUCUUCUGCGGGUAGCGUACUCCCUGACCACCGUGUCGAAAUCAAGUCGAAAGUAGAUCUAUCAAGUUCCGACGUCCACAUCUUGUACAUUCUAACACAAUGUUCGUUUUAUUUCUAUUCUGUUUUCCAAGAGAGCAAAGUAUUCUCAGAUUACAAAGAUGAUGAAAAUAAAGAACUACGCGGGUUUUU
This is an RNA transcript of Galendromus occidentalis (western predatory mite), 600 nucleotides long. RefSeq lists it as uncharacterized. The record is from RefSeq and is a predicted model, not a curated record. The transcript is spliced from 3 exons. NCBI's taxonomy places the organism in Eukaryota, Metazoa, Arthropoda, Arachnida, Mesostigmata, Phytoseiidae.